UUCUCCACCCCUGUCUUCCUGUAGGGCCUGCAGGAAAAAGAUGACGAGGGAGGAACUUUGCUAGGAGAGUUCACCUUCACGCCAGGCCAGACUCCCAGUCAGACCUUCCAGCUGAAGAAUGAGCACUCUGGGCUCAUCAAUUACGUAAAGCUGCAAGUGCUGAGCAACUGGGGCCACCCGGACUACACCUGUGUGUGUCAAUUCAGGCUCCACGGCAAUCCAGCUCAUGAUGAUGAAGAUAAGGGAAAACUUUACCUGUCACGGAGGAAUCUAUAGGUCUGAGCCCAUGACAGGGGUGCAAACCCAGGGGACGAGCGGCAAAAAAGCGAGUGGCAAAAGAAAUUACCCUACCUACCUACUAACAGCGCGGCACAUCCGGCCCCGGCUCUGUGACUAACAAGGCAAGGCAUGAUGUGGGCCAUGCGCUCCAGGAGAGGGGGGAGGGAGAUAACACAUGCGUCUAACAAAAAAAAAA
This is a non-coding RNA of Meleagris gallopavo (turkey), 475 nucleotides long. The record is from RefSeq and is a predicted model, not a curated record. NCBI's taxonomy places the organism in Eukaryota, Metazoa, Chordata, Aves, Galliformes, Phasianidae.